Molecule: long non-coding RNA, 987 nt
Filed under: Homo sapiens (human)
Lineage: Eukaryota; Metazoa; Chordata; Mammalia; Primates; Hominidae
Description: HSALNT0328710
Source: RNAcentral
GUCGACUACCAGGCUGCGUUAGGAGCUACCGUCUUCAGCUUUUUCUCGCUGCUGAGAGCUGUUUUGUUACUCAGUAAAACUCUUCUCCACCGUGCUCACCCUUCAGUUGACCGUGCAACUUCAUUCUUCCUGGACAUAAACCCGGGACCCACAGAACAGCGGGUGCAAAAAGGGCUGUAACGCUUUCCUGGCCGGAUCGCCAAGCUGCAGGUAAGAUGUGCCUGCUUCACCUACUGGCGUGAAUGUAAACUUUCUGAGACCUUCCCAGCCAUGUGGAACUACAUGAUCUGACAUAUUAAACUGAGGCAUAAAAGACAGGUCACAUUUCAUUUCAUUUUUAGUGACUCUGCAAUGACCAUGGACAUUAUUUUUUAAUUGUUAAGGUAAACAUGAUUUGAAAUAUAUUUAGGUUGAGUUUAUUGAGAUUAAGGAUAGCUCUAGAUACGGGGGGAGAGGUGUAGCUUCCAUUUGAAGGGAUAACAGUGUGGAAAACAGUAGAAUAGUUUGAUGUGAAAUUCCCUGGGCCUCUUCCACAGCCUUAUACAAGGUAGGGGUUUUGAAAAUUAAAGAUUCAUUAGCUUCAUGGUAAAUUCACUGUUCUUUGAGAUUCAAGUAUGUAGUUUGCAGUCACCUUGUUUUAGUUGUUUAAUUAGGUCAAAACUGACAGAUAAUUAAUAGGAUUUUUAAAAGAACAUUUGUCUUGGAUUCUUCCCUUAGCUUUUAAAAUCGUGGAUUAGUAAUUCCAUAGGCCUUCGAUUAAGUCUCUGGACUUCCUGUUACCUUUUGAAUUUUCUUCAUGUUUCUCUUGGGUUCGUUUCCUGUUUUCUGAAACAUUUAUAUUCUGCUUUCAUUACUUAUUCCCUCAUUUUGUAAAAUAUGUAACCUUUAAAGAAUCCUUUUUUAGUUGUAUUUUGAGUUUAAAGGUAAUUUUUCUUCUAAUGGAUUUAAUUGUUAGCUGUGUGCAAGAAUAAGUGCUGGUAAUAAAAA